Molecule: ribosomal RNA, 482 nt
Filed under: uncultured Flavobacteriaceae bacterium
Lineage: Bacteria; Pseudomonadati; Bacteroidota; Flavobacteriia; Flavobacteriales; Flavobacteriaceae
Description: bacterial SSU rRNA
Rfam family: Bacterial small subunit ribosomal RNA
Source: RNAcentral
GAUGAACGCUAGCGGCAGGCUUAACACAUGCAAGUCGAGGGGUAACAUAGGUGCUUGCACUUGAUGACGACCGGCGAACGGGUGCGUAACGCGUAUAGAAUUUGCCUUGUACAGGAGGAUAGCCUUUAGAAAUGAAGAUUAAUACUCCAUAGUAUUAUGAAUUGGCAUCAAUUUAUAAUUAAACAUUUAUGGGUACAAGAUGACUAUGCGUUCUAUUAGCUAGAUGGUAAGGUAACGGCUUACCAUGGCAACGAUAGAUAGGGGGUCUGAGAGGACUAUCCCCCACACUGGUACUGAGACACGGACCAGACUCCUACGGGAGGCAGCAGUGAGGAAUAUUGGACAAUGGAGGCAACUCUGAUCCAGCCAUGCCGCGUGCAGGAAGACUGCCCUAUGGGUUGUAAACUGCUUUUAUACAGGAAGAAACUGUUUCACGUGUGAAACACUGACGGUACUGUAAGAAUAAGGACCGGCUAACUCCG